UUUUUUUUUUUUUUUUUAAGAGCAGAAUAAAGGCUUUCUCGUGUCGGCCACACAGCCCCUCCAGCUCGAAUAAUGGAGAGAUUGUCGCUCACUCCGCGAGCCGCGGCCCUUUGUACGCAGCUGAUGGCGAAGAGGCGACCGGGGGUGGCAGGGCUCCUGGCCCUGGCCCCUGUGCCCGAGUACACAGGCUCAAGUCUCCUGGGCAGGGAGCGGGUGAAAGGAACAUGGUUAAAAUACGGGGAGGGAGGGCGGUGGGAGGGAAGGAGGAAAAAGAAAAAGGAUGAAUUUGUACACAAAUUCUACAUUUUACUCCCCUUGCAGUCAGAAGCAGGGCAGUGGAGAGACCAGGCAGCAAGCAGACUGCUGGAGAUGGAAAAGGAAAGGCUGAGAGAGAGAGAGAGAGAGAGAGGCGCGCAGAGAGGGUGGGCAGAAAGCGCGAGCGCGCGCGGGAACCGGGGCCCCUGCUGGACGCCGGGUGCGCCCGCCCAGCCGCCUCGGACCCCGGACCUUGCGUCGUGGACACCAGAAGCGAGACUCGCCAAAGUCCGGCCCCAGAAGAUUUUUGCCCAUGGUGCUUUUGUCUUUAUGCCCUGCAAACGAGUACUGAAGAAGAAAAGAUUAGGGCCAUGGUCUCCGUUGAGGGAGAUUGAAAGCAUUACUUGA
This 663-nucleotide long non-coding RNA is filed under the name Fukomys damarensis (Damara mole-rat). RNAcentral's name for it is "lncRNA (ENSFDAG00000022579.1)". The record is from RNAcentral. Lineage: Eukaryota; Metazoa; Chordata; Mammalia; Rodentia; Bathyergidae.